This is a long non-coding RNA of Apis cerana (Asiatic honeybee), 650 nucleotides long. RefSeq lists it as uncharacterized. The record is from RefSeq and is a predicted model, not a curated record. NCBI's taxonomy places the organism in Eukaryota, Metazoa, Arthropoda, Insecta, Hymenoptera, Apidae.
UACGAAUUCUUAAUCCUUCUACGAAUUUAUAAGAAAUAGUAAAUACGAGAGUUUCGUGUAGUAAUCUCCUGUAGUAAACAGUCGUUCGAUGGCAGUCGUAUUCGACGCGUACGCUGUUACGGACUACGUGUACGGACUAAACUCCCUCCAUUGACGAAGGAGGAACGUCCGUUCGUUGGAACCUGGGCCCUAUUGUAACCUUCCCCCCUCGACGUUUUCCUAGACACACUCCGAUUUAAAUCAUGCCUCGCAUGAUCCUUCAAUCCGCGCAAGAUCACUGUCCGUUGUAUGCACGGUGCGGAAUCUUCACGGAACCCAGUAUUUUUCAUGGAUAUUAUUCUUGCAAGCAACUUCAAGUCAGGUACUUCAACGUCUCCGAAGAACGUUCGUAUCCUUGAAAGCGAUACUGUUAAAUAUAACUUGUUGCCUAACAAGCGAACAUUUUUCUAAAAAAUAUCGAAGCAACUGUUAAUCAAACUACGAGAUAAACUUGAAAAAUGGAAGCUUAAUUUUAUCCGAUUCCAAUGAUAAAAUUUUUUCGUUUUCUUUUUUUACGAUCUUCAAACAACUUCAAAAAUCUUGAUCGAAAAACUUUUUUUCAGUUCCGUCCUCAAAUUUGUUCCACAAAUAAAAAAAAGCGAUAAAAAUUC